AAGAGGGGGGAAAGUCCAAGUCCAAGAAGUGGAAGAUGGAGUCCAAGUGACAGAGGAAAUAUCCGGGAUCGUUGACAAAGGAAAGGACAAUAAGAAGAGUGGGAAAGAAAAGCAUAAUGAAGAAGAACUACAAACUCUUAGGUCUGAAGUAGAAAUACCCGAGAUCGUUGAUA
Trachemys scripta elegans is the source of this 173-nucleotide long non-coding RNA. RefSeq lists it as uncharacterized. The transcript is spliced from 8 exons. Lineage: Eukaryota; Metazoa; Chordata; Testudines; Emydidae. The record is from RefSeq and is a predicted model, not a curated record.